AUAGAUCCUAGAAAAGAGAAAUCCUGAGCCCUCCAAGAAAGACAUGAAUUGAUACCUUCAUUAUCUGCUCUAACUCCAGAAUCAAGUUCUGUAUGCUGCAUGGUGAAGCAAAUAUCAAAGCAGAAAAUAGAUACCUAAAUGAACAAUAGUAUGAAAGAGGCAAA
Long non-coding RNA from Phyllostomus discolor (pale spear-nosed bat), 164 nucleotides. RefSeq lists it as uncharacterized. The record is from RefSeq and is a predicted model, not a curated record. The transcript is spliced from 3 exons. Lineage: Eukaryota; Metazoa; Chordata; Mammalia; Chiroptera; Phyllostomidae.